This 488-nucleotide ribosomal RNA is filed under the name uncultured Propionibacterium sp. Its description in RNAcentral is "partial 16S ribosomal RNA". Lineage: Bacteria; Bacillati; Actinomycetota; Actinomycetes; Propionibacteriales; Propionibacteriaceae. The record is from RNAcentral.
CACGUAGUUAGCCGGUGCUUCUUUACCCAUUACCGUCACUCACGCUUCGUCACAGGCGAAGGCGGUUUACAACCCGAAGGCCGUCAUCCCGCACGCGGCGUUGCUGCAUCAGGCUUCCGCCCAUUGUGCAAUAUUCCCCACUGCUGCCUCCCGUAGGAGUCUGGGCCGUAUCUCAGUCCCAAUGUGGCCGGUCACCCUCUCAGGCCGGCUACCCGUCAAAGCCUUGGUAAGCCACUACCCCACCAACAAGCUGAUAAGCCGCGAGUCCAUCCCCAACCGCCGAAACUUUCCAACCCCCACCAUGCAGCAGGAGCUCCUAUCCGGUAUUAGCCCCAGUUUCCUGAAGUUAUCCCAAAGUCAAGGGCAGGUUACUCACGUGUUACUCACCCGUUCGCCACUCGAGCACCCCACAAAAGCAGGGCCUUUCCGUUCGACUUGCAUGUGUUAAGCACGCCGCCAGCGUUCGUCCUGAGCCAGGAUCAAACUCU